AACGAACGCUGGCGGCAGGCUUAAUACAUGCAAGUCGAACGGGUGUAGCAAUACAUCAGUGGCAGACGGGUGAGUAACACGUGGGAGCCUUCCUAGGGGUACGGAACAACUCAGGGAAACUUGAGCUAAUACCGUAUACGUCCGUGAGGAGAAAGAUUUAUCGCCCUUAGACGGGCCCGCGUCGGAUUAGCUAGUUGGUGGGGUAACGGCCUACCAAGGCGACGAUCCGUAGCUGAUCUUAGAGGAUGAUCAGCCACACUGGGACUGAGACACGGCCCAGACUCCUACGGGAGGCAGCAGUGGGGAAUCUUGGACAAUGGGCGCAAGCCUGAUCCAGCCAUGCCGCGUGAGUGAAGAAGGUCUUCGGAUUGUAAAGCUCUUUUGCCAGGGACGAUAAUGACGGUACCUGGAGAAUAAGCCCCGGCAAACUUCGUGCCAGCCGCCGCGGUAA
This 451-nucleotide ribosomal RNA is filed under the name uncultured bacterium. RNAcentral's name for it is "partial 16S ribosomal RNA". It matches the Rfam family "Bacterial small subunit ribosomal RNA", at positions 29 to 523 of the family's 1533-position model. The record is from RNAcentral.